Molecule: RNA transcript, 606 nt
Organism: Myotis brandtii (Brandt's bat)
Lineage: Eukaryota; Metazoa; Chordata; Mammalia; Chiroptera; Vespertilionidae
Gene name: vasculin
Exons: 1
Source: RefSeq, a predicted model, not a curated record
GUUGGCAGACUUAAUCAGCAGCCUCGUCUGACCAAGCUGACACGAAUGCACACUGGUAAGAAGAGCGAGUUUCUGAAGGUGUUAAAUCGGGACGGAGUGGAGGAGGAGCAUGAGGAUGAAAGCCAUGCUGGCUCCGAGAAGGAUGAAGACUCAUUUAAUUUGCGUAACAGCAAUAGUACUCACCAAGACAGAGAUAUAAACGGGAACUUUGAUGAAAACGAAAUUCCACAAGAGAAUGGCAAUGCCUCGGUUAUUUCCCAGCAGAUCAUUCGGUCCUCAACCUUCCCACCGACCGAUGUUCUUUCAAGUUCCCUUGAGGCAGAAUACAGAUUGUUGAAGGAGAUGGGCUGGCAAGAAGACAGUGAAAACGAUGAAACGUGUGCUCCCUUAACUGAGGAUGAAAUGAGAGAAUUCCAAGUUAUUAGUGAACAGUUGCAGAAGAAUGGUCUGAGGAAAAAUGGUAUUUUGAAAAAUGGCCUGAUCUGUGACUUCAAGUUUGGACCCUGGAGAAGCAGCACUUUCCACCCCACGAUUGAGAAUGACGACACGGAGACGAGCAGCAGCGACACGUCCGGUGACGACGACGUGUGAGGUCCCAGCACCUCC